GGGUAAUCUGGACUAUUUUGACAUGAAGAAAAAGGACCGGAAAUUUAUAAUCCUGUUCUGAGCAGAUGACAUUUGCUGUAAUUCACCAAAUUUAGAAUUCUGUACGGGCUAAAUACAUGCCCUGUUUCUCUGCCAUUUGCCGUCCCUUCCAUGCAACGCACACGCAGUAGCCAAUAAUUUUGGCAAAUUUAGUGGUCACAGUAAAUGUAUGAAAGAAAUAACCAUAAUGCCAAAUAUUCCACCAGGCACAACUACAACUUCUCCGAGAGUGCAUCAUGUUGACGAACCACGUUCAUAGUUGUAAUGCACUAUCCACCAUCUUCUCCUUUUUUCUGUUGCAAAACCAGUAAUUUUUCAACUUUCUUUUUCGGGAAAUCUGAAUCCUAAGUAUAUAUUUCUUCUACCCAGAAAGAAAAAAAGAGUAUGUCUUGUCUCAUGUUGAGACUAAAUCAUCACACCAUGAUCUCCAGUUCUCCGCUGCAGCAGUUUUACAAGGGUUCAAGUCAGCCAAAAAAAACAACGAUCCGAAAACCCCCAAGAAGCUCCCCUGAAAAUAAAACAUGAGAAGAAAUCAAACUUUUUAUUUGUUUGCCAGAAAGUAAAAGCCCUAUCCUGGUGCCAUACAUACCUUGUUCUAUGUAUGUGCAGUUGCUACAUGUCCUAGCUCUCCCAGAUUCAGGCAGAGCAUACUACACUAGAUCCUCCCUACAAAAGGUCAUCCGACAAAAAAAAGGCCAACCCAUUUCAUGAUUCACACAACAAAGAUAUCAAGAGACAUAGAUGCACAACAAAGGAGGAAGAAAUUAUAUCUUGCACACUCACCUCGCAAGCCUUGACGUCCUGGCAUCCACACAGGAGCAUGCCGUUGAGCAGAUCGGUGGCUUGGAAUGCGCCCCCUCCCUCGCUUCUCUGAAUUUAGUUCAUUUCAGAAACAUGCAUAAACAUCAAUGAUUUUCUGUAACAACAUAGCCUUGUUGUACUCGACCAGAACUGGACAUAAUGGAUAAUAAAUAUACACUCCACUCCAUCUAUGGAAUAUCUGCAGUUAAUAGGUUUUACAAUUGUUUAGGUUAUUUGAGAUUAAUAUCUGCAGUUUUCAUCUUGUGGAACAUACAAGUACUUGACCCUGAAGUUUUAUGUGUGUGUGUGUGUGUAUAUAUAUAUAUAUAUAUAUAN
This 1176-nucleotide long non-coding RNA is filed under the name Hordeum vulgare. RNAcentral's name for it is "long non-coding RNA (HVUL_LNC021028)". The record is from RNAcentral. Lineage: Eukaryota; Viridiplantae; Streptophyta; Magnoliopsida; Poales; Poaceae.